This 463-nucleotide ribosomal RNA is filed under the name uncultured soil bacterium. RNAcentral describes it as "bacterial SSU rRNA". It matches the Rfam family "Bacterial small subunit ribosomal RNA", at positions 26 to 518 of the family's 1533-position model. The record is from RNAcentral.
AGCCUGAACGCUGGCGGCGUGGCUAAGACAUGCAAGUCGCACGGAGGUAGCAAUACCUCAGUGGUGAACGGGUGAGUAAUGAAUCGCUAAUGUGCCCCGGACUCUGGGAUAGCUAGCCGAAAGGUUAGGUAAUACCAGAUGAUAUAUCCUGAUCGCAUGAUCGGGAUCUCAAAGGUCCGCCGGUCUGGGAGCAGGCGAUUUCGUAUCAGCUAGUUGGUGAGGUAACGGCUCACCAAGGCGACGACGCGUAGCCGGACUGAGAGGUUGGCCGGCCACAUUGGGACUGAGACACUGCCCAGACUCCUACGGGGGGCUGCAGUAACGAAUCUUCCGCAAUGGGCGAAAGCCUGACGGAGCGACGCCGCGUGUAGGAGAAGCCCUUCGGGGUGUAAACUACUGUCAGGGUUAGAAAGUUCUGAUCAACCCCAGAGGAAGGCACGGCUAACUCUGUGCCAGCAGCCGC